GGGGAUUUAGCACAGUGGUAGAGCGCUUGCCUAGGAAGCGCAAGGCCCUGGGUUCGAUCCCCAGCUCCA
RNAcentral lists this transfer RNA (69 nucleotides) under Rattus norvegicus (Norway rat). It matches the Rfam family "tRNA". From Rfam's summary of the family: Transfer RNA (tRNA) molecules are approximately 80 nucleotides in length. Their secondary structure includes four short double-helical elements and three loops (D, anti-codon, and T loops). Lineage: Eukaryota; Metazoa; Chordata; Mammalia; Rodentia; Muridae. The record is from Rfam by way of RNAcentral.